UACGGAAGGCAGCAGUGGGGAAUAUUGCACAAUGGGCGCAAGCCUGAUGCAGCCAUGCCGCGUGUAUGAAGAAGGCCUUCGGGUUGUAAAGUACUUUCAGUCGUGAGGAGGUGUUAAGGUUAAUAACCUUAGCAAUUGACGUUAGCAACAGAAGAAGCACCGGCUAACUCCGUGCCAGCAGCCGCGGUAAUACGGAGGGUGCGAGCGUUAAUCGGAAUUACUGGGCGUAAAGGGCACGCAGGCGGUUAAUUAAGUUGGAUGUGAAAUCCCCGGGCUUAACCUGGGAAUGGCAUUCAAGACUGGUUAGCUAGAGUCUUGUAGAGGGGGUAGAAUUCCAUGUGUAGCGGUGAAAUGCGUAGAGAUGUGGAGGAAUACCGGUGGCGAAGGCGGCCCCUGGGACAAAGACUGACGCUCAUGUGCGAAAGCGUGGGGAGCAAAACAGGGAUUAGAUAACC
This 455-nucleotide ribosomal RNA is filed under the name uncultured bacterium. RNAcentral describes it as "bacterial SSU rRNA". It matches the Rfam family "Bacterial small subunit ribosomal RNA", at positions 340 to 787 of the family's 1533-position model. The record is from RNAcentral.